CCCUUUCAUGUACUGAGCCUCUACGUGGCGAAAGGGAUCAACAGGCAAAAGUCUGGCUAAUCAGUA
RNAcentral lists this non-coding RNA (66 nucleotides) under Caenorhabditis briggsae. Lineage: Eukaryota; Metazoa; Nematoda; Chromadorea; Rhabditida; Rhabditidae. The record is from RNAcentral.